RNAcentral lists this ribosomal RNA (468 nucleotides) under uncultured bacterium. RNAcentral describes it as "partial 16S ribosomal RNA". It matches the Rfam family "Bacterial small subunit ribosomal RNA", at positions 28 to 507 of the family's 1533-position model. The record is from RNAcentral.
GACGAACGCUGGCGGCGUGCUUAACACAUGCAAGUCGAACGGAAAGGCCCUGCUUUUGUUGGUUGCUCGAGUGGCGAACGGGUGAGUAACACGUGAGUAACCUGCCCUUGACUUUGGGAUAACUUCACGAAACUGGGGCUAAUACCGGAUAGGAUCUCCUGCUGCGUGUUGGGGGUUGGAAAGUUUCGGCGGUUGGGGAUGGACUGGCGGCUUAUCAGCUUGUUGGGGGGGUAGUGGCUUACCAAGGCUUUGACGGGUAGCCGGCCUGAGAGGGUGACCGGCCACAUUGGGCCUGAGAUACGGACCAGACUCCUACGGGAGGCAGCAGUGGGGAAUAUUGCACAAUGGGGGGAAGCCUGAUGCAGCAACGUCGCGUGCGGGAUGCCGGCCUUCGGGUUGUAAACCGCUUUCGCCUGUGACGAAGCGUGAGUGACGGUAAUGGGUAAAGAAGCACCGGCUAACUACGUG